This 639-nucleotide long non-coding RNA is filed under the name Equus asinus (donkey). RNAcentral's name for it is "lncRNA (ENSEASG00005025088.1)". The record is from RNAcentral. Lineage: Eukaryota; Metazoa; Chordata; Mammalia; Perissodactyla; Equidae.
GUGCACUCUCUGCCCUCAUCCUGGAAUUUCGUUGGCAAUCGGAACUGCCAUCCCCGCCGCGCACCAUGCUGAGCGCUUUCACGUAUGGGCUCCCAUAAUCCCACAACAGCCCUCCGACCGAGGUAUGGUCAUUGCUCCACUUUAAAGAAGAGGAAACGGAGGCACAGAGAAAGGUCACGGGCCUUGCCCAGGAUCUCCCCGUCAGGAAAUGGCCCAGAGCCAGACCAGUGUGAGGCACAGCUCUCAUCACUCAGCCUGGGGACUGGUGAGAAGGACAGUGCUCAGGGCCAAAGGGGCCCUGCAACCCAGCCGGCAGGGAGGUGCACUGGGAAGGUGAGGCGGUGGAGCAGAUGCACUGGGUUGCGUGGAGGUCACGGAGUGGAGACCAAGCCGGCAGCUGUCCGAUCCUCAACCCGCUCCACUGGCAACCAGCGCAGGGACCGUGGCUUGGAGGCGAUCGGCGAGGGGCGCACAUCCAGGGAGCACGAGAAGAGGAUCCAGGACCCCACCCCAAGGCCCAUCCACCCCAGUAAGUGGCAGCGGCCCCUCUAGCCCCACUGCUUCCAAGGCGGCCCGGAAUCUGUCCAUCCAACAGCGGGGCUGGGCGACUCCCCCAUGGCGCCGUGACGGGGCGCCCGG